UACGGAGGGUGCAAGCGUUUAAUCGGAAUUACUGGGCGUAAAGCGUGCGCAGGCGGUUUGUUAAGUCCGUUGUGAAAGCCCCGAGCUCAACUUGGGAAUUGCAGUGGAUACUGGCAGGCUGGAGUACGGUAGAGGAAGGUGGAAUUCCCGGUGUAGCAGUGAAAUGCGUAGAUAUCGGGAGGAACACCAGUGGCGAAGGCGGCCUUCUGGACCAGUACUGACGCUCAUGCACGAAAGCGUGGGGAGCAAACAGG
This 254-nucleotide ribosomal RNA is filed under the name uncultured bacterium. RNAcentral describes it as "partial 16S ribosomal RNA". It matches the Rfam family "Bacterial small subunit ribosomal RNA", at positions 524 to 776 of the family's 1533-position model. The record is from RNAcentral.